Molecule: long non-coding RNA, 551 nt
Filed under: Daphnia pulicaria
Lineage: Eukaryota; Metazoa; Arthropoda; Branchiopoda; Diplostraca; Daphniidae
Description: uncharacterized LOC124326197
Source: RNAcentral
ACGGUUUCAAUCCGCAUACAUAAUCAGCAACUAGAAGGUGAACUCACGAGCAAAAACAAAAAACAUGCAGUCGCCAGCUUACGUAUAAAGGGAAUCAUUUCAAUUCGAUUGUCCAACCAAGAAACAUCUCAGCACUUCCACAUUUCAAAUCAUCUGCUUCUGUCUACAAUCUUAAAAGCACAAUAAUGAAGGUAACUGUUUUGUCGAUUUUCCUGUUUAUUUCGGCCGUUUUAAUGACAAACGUGUCCGCUCGUGACUGGAAGGUUGGUGAGAACGGUUUAGUUCGCUGGGACACCAAUUGCCAUUAGUAAUAACAAUCAAAUCGGCAACAAGCCUAGCACCGGGGAACAAUGUGGAGGAGUCUGCAUCGCCAACAAUAAAUGUACUCACUUUGCUUAUGGGUUUGGAACCUGCUACAUGUUUGCAAACCCUGGAGGAGAAUCUGCCGCUGACGGUAGUUGGACUUGUGGUUUCGUAAUGGCUCGCAUUUAAUUGAGGAUGAAUAGUUGACCUGCUUUGAUGUUAAUAAAUAAAUGAUUUUAUCAUUCUAA